Molecule: transfer RNA, 71 nt
Filed under: Clostridiales bacterium
Lineage: Bacteria; Bacillati; Bacillota; Clostridia; Eubacteriales
Description: tRNA-Arg
Source: RNAcentral
GUAGCUCAGCUGGAUAGAGCGUUCGCCUCCUAAGCGGAAGGCAAGCCGUCCGCCUUCGUUUUUCCGGCCCA